GGUAGGGUAGCCGAGUAGGCGGUGGGUUGUAGCCCCGAAGACAAAGGUUUGAGUCCUUUUCCUAUCA
RNAcentral lists this transfer RNA (67 nucleotides) under Enteromius pobeguini. RNAcentral's name for it is "tRNA-Tyr". It matches the Rfam family "tRNA". Rfam says of the family: Transfer RNA (tRNA) molecules are approximately 80 nucleotides in length. Lineage: Eukaryota; Metazoa; Chordata; Actinopteri; Cypriniformes; Cyprinidae. The record is from RNAcentral.